GUGAGGAAUAUUGGUCAAUGGGCGGGAGCCUGAACCAGCCAAGUCGCGUGAAGGAAGAAGGAUCUAUGGUUCGUAAACUUCUUUUGCAGGGGAAUAAAGUGCAGGACGUGUCCUGUUUUGUAUGUACCCUGAGAAUAAGGAUCGGCUAACUCCGUGCCAGCAGCCGCGGUAAUACGGAGGAUCCGAGCGUUAUCCGGAUUUAUUGGGUUUAAAGGGUGCGUAGGUGGUUUGAUAAGUCAGCGGUGAAAGUUUGCAGCUUAACUGUAAAGAUGCCGUUGAAACUGUCGGACUUGAGUGUAAAUGAGGUAGGCGGAAUGCGUGGUGUAGCGGUGAAAUGCAUAGAUAUCACGCAGAACUCCGAUUGCGAAGGCAGCUUACUAAGCUACAACUGACACUGAAGCACGAAAGCGUGGGGAUCAAACAGGAUUAGAUACCCGAGUAGUCC
This 445-nucleotide ribosomal RNA is filed under the name uncultured bacterium. Its description in RNAcentral is "partial 16S ribosomal RNA". It matches the Rfam family "Bacterial small subunit ribosomal RNA", at positions 354 to 796 of the family's 1533-position model. The record is from RNAcentral.